UUCCAGACUCCUACGGGAGGCAGCAGUGGGGAAUAUUGCACAAUGGGGGAAACCCUGAUGCAGCGACGCCGCGUGAGUGAAGAAGUCUUUCGGUAUGUAAAGCUCUAUCAGCAGGGAAGAAAUACUGACCUUACGGUCAGCAGACGGUACCUGACUAAGAAGCCCCGGCUAACUACGUGCCAGCAGCCGCGGUAAUACGUAGGGGGCAAGCGUUAUCCGGAUUUACUGGGUGUAAAGGGUGCGUAGGUGGCAUGGCAAGUCAGAAGUGAAAGCCCGGGGCUCAACCCCGCGGACUGCUUUUGAAACUGUCAGGCUGGAGUACAGGAGAGGUAAGCGGAAUUCCUAGUGUAGCGGUGAAAUGCGUAGAUAUUAGGAGGAACACCAGUGGCGAAGGCGGCUUACUGGACUGUAACUGACACUGAGGCACGAAAGCGUGGGGAGCAAACAGGAUUAGAUACCCCAGUA
RNAcentral lists this ribosomal RNA (465 nucleotides) under uncultured bacterium. Its description in RNAcentral is "bacterial SSU rRNA". It matches the Rfam family "Bacterial small subunit ribosomal RNA", at positions 329 to 792 of the family's 1533-position model. The record is from RNAcentral.